Molecule: ribosomal RNA, 472 nt
Filed under: Staphylococcus aureus
Lineage: Bacteria; Bacillati; Bacillota; Bacilli; Caryophanales; Staphylococcaceae
Description: bacterial SSU rRNA
Rfam family: Bacterial small subunit ribosomal RNA
Source: RNAcentral
GAUGAACGCUGGCGGCGUGCCUAAUACAUGCAAGUCGAGCGAACGGACGAGAAGCUUGCUUCUCUGAUGUUAGCGGCGGACGGGUGAGUAACACGUGGAUACCUACCUAUAGGACUGGGAUAACUUCGGGAAACCGGAGCUAAUACCGGAUAAUAUUUUGAACCGCAUGGUUCAAAAGUGAAAGACGGUCUUGCUGUCACUUAUAGAUGGAUCCGCGCUGCAUUAGCUAGUUGGUAAGGUAAUGGCUUACCAAGGCAACGAUGCAUAGCCGACCUGAGAGGGUGAUCGGCCACACUGGAACUGAGACACGGUCCAGACUCCUACGGGAGGCAGCAGUAGGGAAUCUUCCGCAAUGGGCGAAAGCCUGACGGAGCAACGCCGCGUGAGUGAUGAAGGUCUUCGGAUCGUAAAACUCUGUUAUUAGGGAGAACAUAUGUGUAAGUAACUGUGCAAUCUUGACGUACCAAUCGAA